This 1354-nucleotide ribosomal RNA is filed under the name Lactobacillus delbrueckii subsp. lactis. Its description in RNAcentral is "16s ribosomal RNA". It matches the Rfam family "Bacterial small subunit ribosomal RNA", at positions 8 to 1204 of the family's 1533-position model. The record is from RNAcentral. Lineage: Bacteria; Bacillati; Bacillota; Bacilli; Lactobacillales; Lactobacillaceae.
AGAGUUUGAUCCUGGCUCAGGACGAACGCUGGCGGCGUGCCUAAUACAUGCAAGUCGAGCGAGCUGAAUUCAAAGAUUCCUUCGGGAUGAUUUGUUGGACGCUAGCGGCGGAUGGGUGAGUAACACGUGGGCAAUCUGCCCUAAAGACUGGGAUACCACUUGGAAACAGGUGCUAAUACCGGAUAACAACAUGAAUCGCAUGAUUCAAGUUUGAAAGGCGGCGCAAGCUGUCACUUUAGGAUGAGCCCGCGGCGCAUUAGCUAGUUGGUGGGGUAAAGGCCUACCAAGGCAAUGAUGCGUAGCCGAGUUGAGAGACUGAUCGGCCACAUUGGGACUGAGACACGGCCCAAACUCCUACGGGAGGCAGCAGUAGGGAAUCUUCCACAAUGGACGCAAGUCUGAUGGAGCAACGCCGCGUGAGUGAAGAAGGUCUUCGGAUCGUAAAGCUCUGUUGUUGGUGAAGAAGGAUAGAGGCAGUAACUGGUCUUUAUUUGACGGUAAUCAACCAGAAAGUCACGGCUAACUACGUGCCAGCAGCCGCGGUAAUACGUAGGUGGCAAGCGUUGUCCGGAUUUAUUGGGCGUAAAGCGAGCGCAGGCGGAAUGAUAAGUCUGAUGUGAAAGCCCACGGCUCAACCGUGGAACUGCAUCGGAAACUGUCAUUCUUGAGUGCAGAAGAGGAGAGUGGAACUCCAUGUGUAGCGGUGGAAUGCGUAGAUAUAUGGAAGAACACCAGUGGCGAAGGCGGCUCUCUGGUCUGCAACUGACGCUGAGGCUCGAAAGCAUGGGUAGCGAACAGGAUUAGAUACCCUGGUAGUCCAUGCCGUAAACGAUGAGCGCUAGGUGUUGGGGACUUUCCGGUUCUCAGUGCCGCAGCAAACGCAUUAAGCGCUCCGCCUGGGGAGUACGACCGCAAGGUUGAAACUCAAAGGAAUUGACGGGGGCCCGCACAAGCGGUGGAGCAUGUGGUUUAAUUCGAAGCACCGCGAAGAACCUUACCAGGUCUUGACAUCCUGCNNNNNNNNNNUCGUCCUGAGCCAGGAUCAAACNUUCAAUUUGAAAAUUGAGCCUUUUUAAUCUGCUCCAGAUUAUUUGCUUGCGAAUUGACUUCGCUUAUUUGUUUGGAUCAAACAUUGUUUGACCCGCACACUGCGAAACUUUGUUCAGUUUUCAAAGUACCAACUUGCGUCUUAGUGACGCAACGUUUUAUAUCUUACUCGCUUGUUUGAUUCUUGUCAACAAGUUUUUGAUAUUUUCUUUUUCGUGUCUCCGGCGAAUUCCUUCUUCGCCGCGACAACAAAUAUUAGUAUACUCGUUAUUUUUGAAAGGUAAAAUCAGCCUUUUCAUUCGCUUUA